UUGCAUUUGUAGUCGCGAGGAUGAGAACCUCCGGGGGUAAGAGGUUCGACUCGAGCAGCGCGAGAGAACGUUGCAACAGCAACGGCCCGCAGGGCGAGCCACGAAGUGGCGAGUAGUCCUCUAUCACCGACUA
This 133-nucleotide small RNA is filed under the name Citrobacter werkmanii. RNAcentral's name for it is "RtT sRNA". It matches the Rfam family "RtT RNA". Rfam says of the family: This family represents a bacterial cis-regulatory element known as RtT RNA. The exact function of RtT is unknown although it is thought that it may be involved in changing the cellular response in relation to amino acid starvation. The record is from RNAcentral. RNAcentral also lists the same sequence under 1 other name. Lineage: Bacteria; Pseudomonadati; Pseudomonadota; Gammaproteobacteria; Enterobacterales; Enterobacteriaceae.